This 447-nucleotide ribosomal RNA is filed under the name uncultured bacterium. RNAcentral's name for it is "bacterial SSU rRNA". It matches the Rfam family "Bacterial small subunit ribosomal RNA", at positions 355 to 825 of the family's 1533-position model. The record is from RNAcentral.
UGGGGAAUAUUGGACAAUGGGCGAAAGCCUGAUCCAGCCAUGCCGCGUGAGUGACGAAGGCCUUAGGGUUGUAAAGCUCUUUUGGCGGGGAAGAUAAUGACGGUACCCGCAGAAUAAGCUCCGGCUAACUUCGUGCCAGCAGCCGCGGUAAUACGAAGGGAGCUAGCGUUGUUCGGAAUCACUGGGCGUAAAGCGCACGUAGGCGGAUUGUUUAGUCAGGGGUGAAAUCCCGGAGCUCAACUUCGGAACUGCCUUUGAUACUGGCAAUCUCGAGUCCGAUAGAGGUGGGUGGAAUUCCUAGUGUAGAGGUGAAAUUCGUAGAUAUUAGGAAGAACACCGGUGGCGAAGGCGGCCCACUGGAUCGGUACUGACGCUGAGGUGCGAAAGCGUGGGGAGCAAACAGGAUUAGAUACCCACGUAGUCCCUGAGCGGGCUGGCAAGGCGCAU